Molecule: ribosomal RNA, 443 nt
Filed under: uncultured bacterium
Lineage: Bacteria
Description: partial 16S ribosomal RNA
Rfam family: Bacterial small subunit ribosomal RNA
Source: RNAcentral
CCUACGGGUGGCAGCAGUGGGGAAUAUUGGGCAAUGGGCGCAAGCCUGACCCAGCAACGCCGCGUGAAGGAAGAAGGCUUUCGGGUUGUAAACUUCUUUUCUCAGGGACGAAGCAAGUGACGGUACCUGAGGAAUAAGCCACGCCUAACUACGUGCCAGCAGCCGCGGUAAUCCGUAGGUGGCAAGCGUUCUCCGGAUUUACUGGGUGUAAAGGGCGUGUAGGCGGGACUGCAAGUCAGAUGUGAAAACCACGGGCUCAAACUGUGGCCUGCAUUUGAAACUGGAGGUCUUGAGUACUGGAGAGGCAGACGGAAUGCCUAGUGUAGCGGUGAAAUGCGUAGAUAUUAGGAGGAACCCCAGUGGCGAAGGCGGUCUGCUGGACAGCAACUGACGCUGAGGCGCGAAAGCGUGGGGAGCAAACAGGAUUAGAUACCCGGGUAGUC